RNAcentral lists this ribosomal RNA (329 nucleotides) under uncultured bacterium. Its description in RNAcentral is "bacterial SSU rRNA". It matches the Rfam family "Bacterial small subunit ribosomal RNA", at positions 29 to 383 of the family's 1533-position model. The record is from RNAcentral.
AGCGAACGCUGGCGGCAGGCUUAACACAUGCAAGUCGAACGGGCAUAGCAAUAUGUCAGUGGCAGACGGGUGAGUAACGCGUGGGAACAUACCUCUUGGUUCGGAACAACACAGGGAAACUUGUGCUAAUACCGGAUAAGCCCUUACGGGGAAAGAUUUAUCGCCGAGAGAUUGGCCCGCGUCUGAUUAGCUAGUUGGUGAGGUAAGAGCUCACCAAGGCGACGAUCAGUAGCUGGUCUGAGAGGAUGAUCAGCCACAUUGGGACUGAGACACGGCCCAAACUCCUACGGGAGGCAGCAGUGGGGAAUAUUGGACAAUGGGCGCAAGCC